Molecule: RNA transcript, 4225 nt
Organism: Gadus morhua (Atlantic cod)
Lineage: Eukaryota; Metazoa; Chordata; Actinopteri; Gadiformes; Gadidae
Gene name: zinc finger BED domain-containing protein 1-like
Exons: 8
Source: RefSeq, a predicted model, not a curated record
CAGCAGCAGCUACAACCCAACCCCCAACCCAACUCAACCCAGCAGCAGCAGCUACAACACAAGCCCCAACCCGACUCAACCGAACUCUACGCACCCCAACAUCAGCUACAAUACAAUCCACAACUACCGCAACAGCAGGAAAUACUACAACCCAUCCAGAAUCUACAAGGACAUCCAAACUGUUCCAACCAAGGAUACAUGGGGAACUCGAACUCCCUUGACAUUCAAGGACAAGGACAAGACAACUGUGAAAACCCACAAUACGUGCAAGAGAACCCCGUAAACAAUGAUACAAGUACGGGGGCCAUACAGAAGACGAAUGGCACUCCCGCGGGAGCCACCUCGGGAUCUAAGCAAGAUCAACAAACAUCAGCCUCCGAACCCGCAACCCGAGGCAGAAACCGCGCAACCAAGACGGAUCGCCGCACUAGGAGGACCAAGACAAAGAGUACCAGUCCGAACCGGUCCGACGACGAAUGCUCAGACGAAGAGGGCACCGACCUGAUGGCACCCCUGAUGACGGACGCAUGGGACAGGAAAAUAUUUUCCUGUUGGGGACACCGAGAAAGGCACGUCCUGGCCCGCCGCUUGCCUUCGAUCACGGCGGGAGCUCCGGCCUGGAUCAGGACGUUCGAGGAGGAGACAUCAGGUGAUGUCCUGGCCAUAGGAGAUGUAAGGGCCAUCAUCAGAAAAGCCCAUGGUUCCGACAAAACAAUAGAACUGGAAAGAAUGACCCAUACUACUCAUGUGCCAGACAAAGCACCCUUCGACAGAUACCGAAAUGCCUUCUGGGAUAACCUCAAACGACAAUACCCACCAGACCUCAGUGCAGUGGGAAUCCAAGGCCUGGCCAUCAAACCAGAAGAAACCAUCCAUGAUUACGUAAGGAGAGCCGAAAUCCUAUGGGCAGACAAAAAUGACUGCAGCGCGUACGAAAGCAGCCUGGCAAACAACACCUUCCGAAAGGCGGUCUUGGGUGGGCUACCGCCCGAGGCCCAGAAUGGACUGGAGACGGUGGUUGGACUGUGCGUCAAACCAAAGGCAGAGUGGAUGGAACACCUCAUUCACCACCUCAAUCUAAGCAAAAAGAAGCAAGCAAAGAAAGACCACGACGGAGGUAUUGAGGAAAUAUUUAAACAGAUGUGCAGGGUGAACAUAGAAAAGGACGUGGAGGUGACCCGGCAGCUCAAAAGAGCCGAAGAAGACCAGGAUUACGAGGCCAUGAUGUCCCUAAUGUCCGAAGCAGUCCCUCAGGUGACCCCACUUCCAGAGUGGCUACGACAGGGCAACGAACCCACCGCAUACGCUGCUUACGUGGCCGACGCCAUGCAACAAUCAGGUCAACAAAGACAGAACCAACCAUACAGAGGAGGAGGCACAGUCCGACAAAUGCUAGCAUUCCUAGGACUGACAGGAUAUAGCCGGACCUACAUCCCUGAUUACACCGGCGAAACAACUACACUGCGACAACUCAUCACCAAAGCAGGACACAGAAAUCUAAAAGCCCCCUUGGAAUGGACCCCUGAAGCAGAAGAAGCAUUCAACAGGCUAAAACAAAGCAUGUAUAGUGCCGCGGCCCUGGCCGCCCCGGACUACAAAGAACCCUUUCACCUGGAUGUGUCAGUAAAAGACUGUGUGUUCAACGGAAUCCUAUGGCAGAAACAACGAGGACAACGGAAUGUCCUAGCCUACCACAGCUCUGCCCCGGAACCACCAGAAAAAGGACUCCCGAGUGUGGAAAAGCUAUAUGCGCCAUCGCCAAAAGCCUGGACAAGACGUCCUACACAGUAAUGACUAGGGUUGGGCACCGAGAACCGGUUCCAAAAGGAACCGGUUCCUAACGUCCGGUUCUGGAACUGUUAAGACGAUGUUUGAAUUUCGAUUAUUUUUAUCGGUUCCUAAAUGCGCGCGCAUGUUUCCGGGGCGGGGUUUGUAUUACUCCGCCGCGUGCUCCGCUAAACAUCAGUUGUCUGAAGUUCGAACAUGGACCGCAAACGCCGCUCAAAAGUCUGGCUUCAUUUUAAUUUAAAAAAGGACGGCUUCGCACAGUGCAACACCUGCAAUAAACUUAUUACUGCCAAAGGAGGGUGCACAACAAACAUGAUAAAACACCUUCGCCUGCUGCAUGGUAUAACAAUUAACGAGUGUAGUGUGUUUGACGCGUUGCGUCGGUCUCGUGCUCCCGUCGCUUCCUCCACUUUGGACAGUCAACCAUCAGCUAGUAACUCCUCAUUGGAAACGGAAUCAGUUGUUGAACGCUCGCAGAGUGAUGCUAACGUUAACGUUAGCCAGUCUGAGCCUGCUGCUGCUGCUGCGGCUGCUGCUGCUACGUUAACCGGCCCGAGACCCCAGCCAGCAAAGAUACAACAAACUCCUUUCAGCAUGGCAGCAAGGGGAAAGCUGUCAGCGGAGCAAAUUGCUGAGUGCCACAGAAAAGUAACGGCGUAUGUGGUAAAAGGGCUGCAUCCCUUUAGCGACGUCGAGUCGCCCACAUUUAGGGAUAUGAUCCAUUCAAUAAACCCGAAGUACACCCCCCCUACAAGGGAGUGUUUAACUAAUAGAUUGAUCCCGGCAUGGUACAAGAUAGAAAAAUCUAAUCUGAUCUCAGAGCUGAGUGAGGUCAGUCACAUAGCUCUCACUUGUGAUGGCUGGACUAGCCUAACCCAAGAACACUACCUAACUGUCACAGUGCACUAUUUAGUGGAAAGCAACAUGAGGCAGAAAGUUCUCGCAACAAAAGCUGUGUACAGAGCCCAGACAGGAAUUGUCGUGGCAGAGGAAAUCGGCGACAUCCUGAAAGAAUUUGGCGUGUUUGAUAAAGUAGUAGCCGUUACUGUGGAUAAUGCGGCCAAUAUGGACGUAGCCAUCAAACGGCUGCAGUUUGUGAAGCUCGGCUGCUUCGCUCAUUCACUAAACCUAGCAGCACAAAGUCUGUACUCCAGCAGCUCAGUGGCUCAGUGGACUGCAAAGAUUCGUGCCAUCAUCGUCUGGAUGAAGAGGUCGUCCAUGGCGAAGGUGGUUCUACGGGAAAAGCAGGAUGUCCUAAACCUCCCUCAACAUUCACUGAUUCUCGAUGUGAGAACAAGGUGGAAUUCUCUCUACCUAAUGAUGGAGAGAUUCCUUGAACAAUACCCUGCAAUACAAGCAGCCAGCUUGGACCAACGCCUGAGAAAGAAUAUGGAGAGGGACAGGCUUGAUCGGCUGACAGAUGGUGAUUUCACCAAGGCAGAAGACUUCAUCAGGCUGAUGCAGGUUCUGUACACCUGCACGCUCUGUGUUUCCACUGAAAAAAGCCCAACAGCCGGACAGAUCCUGCCGAUCAUCCAAAAGCUGGAGAAACACUUCGCUGCUGUAAAUGGAGACACAGCAUUUGUAGCUGACUUGAAGAAAAGGGUCUGGGGAAACAUUUCUACCCGGUACAAGUUUUGUUUUUAUUGUUUUAAAGAAUGAGGACAUCAGGUUCUUCUUGGAAGAAGCCACUGCCUUAGAUCCCCGCUUCAAGAAUAAGAUGGACAACAACACAGCAGUCUGGGAACGGAUCAAGGGGAAGUUGCUGGCAAACUCUGAAGAGUCGGUGGCAGUCAAUCAUGACCAUUCAGAAGAGGUUGGUGUGAUGCAGGGCGAGGGAAACCAGGAAGGUGUGAAGACUGAGAGCGAGGAGGAAGAGGAGAAUCAGCCUCCUCCUUCCAAACAAUCGAAAAAGUCUCCACUGGAGGAGCUUUUUGCUGAGGAGGAUGCCAUGAAGAGGACCUCACAAGAGGGGUUGAUGUCCAUGGAAAGUCGUGCUGAAAGGGAGAUCCAGACGUACCUGGAAACGCCACCAAUCAUCACAUCGUCUGACCCUGCAGCCUGGUUCUGGACCCAGACACAAACUUAUCCUUUACUGUCAUGUCUGGCCUUCUCAUAUUUAUGUGUCCAGGCCUCCUCAACACCUAGUGAACGGGUGAUUUCUACUGCAGGAAACACAAUCUGUGCGGAACGGUCGCGCUUACUGCCUGAGAAGGCAGACAUGAUAAUCUUCCUAAACAAGAACUGUUGUUAAUGAUUUGUCACAACUGCGCCAGGGUUUGAGUUUGUUUUAUUUUGUUACAUAUACAUCCACCUGGGCUGCAGCUCUUUGCUUUUUAGACUGCUGCCAACUUGUGUCACUUCAGCAGAAUUCAGUUAUAGUUACAGUUAGGGACCCUCGGCAAUGUGAAUAAAUAUAAUGGCCUGUGUAAAGGCU